Molecule: long non-coding RNA, 641 nt
Organism: Aegilops tauschii subsp. strangulata
Lineage: Eukaryota; Viridiplantae; Streptophyta; Magnoliopsida; Poales; Poaceae
Source: RefSeq, a predicted model, not a curated record
UUUCACAUGUAACUACCUUCCCCUUAUGCACAAACCAUGCUUGAUCCACACCAAUGUUUUGUAGCAGGAAACUAAAGAAGUUGGUCAAGAGACUGAAACCGCAGCUGCUGAAGAUGCACCGAAUGUUAUUCCUGAGCUGACUAAAAACAAGAGGGUAAAUGCAGUGGCCAAGGGUGCCAGCGUUCCAAAGAAAGCAAAGCAGUAGUUCUUCAAUAGGCUAGACUCGCCGUGUACAUAUGGGUAUCUUCUAUGUUCUGCUUUCUUAUCAAGCUAAGUUAGCCGCUAGAUGGAUAUGCUGGUCAAGAGAGCUUCUCAGCUCUACUGCAUCGUAGCAGCGGUCUCGCCGUCGGGUGUGAAGAUCGCCAGCCCGGCACACUUUUGGUUAUGCAUCUGAUGUAUUUUGUGCACCUUUCUAAGACACGGCUUUGGCAUCUGUGGAGCUAUGUCAAGCCCUUUUCAUGACAAUUCCUCUAUUUAGGCGCUCAAACAGACCAUCUGCUAUGCGUUGUAAAUAUCACGUUGGCCCUUUCUAUCUUAUCUCCCUCCCUAUGACAAUUUCUACUCAUUGUAAAUGCCGUUGGGCCAUGGUACUUAAUCUACUGCUUGUCAAUGUCGUUGCCCUUUGUAUGCCUUCUUGUGUC